RNAcentral lists this ribosomal RNA (486 nucleotides) under Antalis entalis. RNAcentral's name for it is "partial 16S ribosomal RNA". It matches the Rfam family "Bacterial large subunit ribosomal RNA", at positions 1829 to 2600 of the family's 2925-position model. The record is from RNAcentral. Lineage: Eukaryota; Metazoa; Mollusca; Scaphopoda; Dentaliida; Dentaliidae.
CGCUUUUUGGAAAAUUAUAAAAAGUCAGUCCUGCCCAGUGCAUAUAAUUUUGUAAACGGCCGCAGUAUCCUGACUGUGCUAAGGUAGCAUAAUAACUUGUCUUUUAAUUGAAGAAUAGAAUGAAUGGAUAGACGUGAAAUUAUCUGUCUCUUUUUUAUUAUAUUAAAAUUAAUCUUUAAGUGAAAAAGCUUAAAUUCUUAGAAAAGACAAGAAGACCCUAUCAAUUUUAAAAUAUCCUUCUUAUUAAUAACGGAGUUUUUUUUGAUUGGGGCAAUCAAAAAGGAAAAGCAUCCUUUUUAUUUUUAUUUUUUGGAAAAAAAAUAUCCAAACAUUUUGAAUUAUGAGAUAAAUACUGUAGGGAUAACAGCAUAAUUUUAUUUUGAAGUCCUUAUUUGAAAUAAAGUUUAUGACCUCGAUGUUGGACUAAGGUAACUUUUAAGUGCAGGGGCUUAACUAGUUAGACUGUUCGUCUAUUAAAUCCUUACA